GUUCAUCCCAAACAUAGUAUUUGGCAUCUUUCUUUAUCUUGUCUUUGGCGUGCUUUGGCAUGUCAGAAGGCAAGUUACCUGUAGCUAAGUAGUUCACCAUGUCUGCAUACUAUGGUUCAUCAGAUUGGGCAAGGAAGAUUUGUUCAAGUAAGUCAUGCUUACAUUUUUCAGACUCUGAGAGGUGUUGUUCUUUGCUUGACUGCAAUGGAGGUGG
RNAcentral lists this long non-coding RNA (214 nucleotides) under Manihot esculenta (cassava). Its description in RNAcentral is "long non-coding RNA (MESC_LNC011054)". The record is from RNAcentral. Lineage: Eukaryota; Viridiplantae; Streptophyta; Magnoliopsida; Malpighiales; Euphorbiaceae.